This 378-nucleotide long non-coding RNA is filed under the name Cricetulus griseus (Chinese hamster). RNAcentral describes it as "lncRNA (ENSCGRG00015041360.1)". The record is from RNAcentral. Lineage: Eukaryota; Metazoa; Chordata; Mammalia; Rodentia; Cricetidae.
GAAACUUCCGGAAGCGGCUGGGGGAGCGGGCUUCCACCUCCCACCCCGGCCCCGCUGCUGCGCGCGUAUCGUACCCCGCCGCUGACACGGGCCGGGCCGAGCCGAGCCGAGCCGGGUGACCCCGCCGCUGACACGGGCCGCUCCGAGCCGGGUGACCCCUCCGCUGACACGGGCCGCGCCGGUGUCCCAGGGUCCUGCAGCGGAGCCGAAGCGGCGUCAUCCCCCGACCCCCGGUUCUACUAACUGGGGACCAAACCUUCAAAAACAUGAGCCUAUGUGGGCCAUUCUCAAUCAGACCACCAUGAAUGGUAAGUCUGGUUGUUUUACCUAUUUAUUGCUACGUCUCAACCUUCAGAUUCUCCUUUCAUUUCUUUUUGU